UGAGUAACCUGCCCUUGACUCUGGGAUAAGCCUGGGAAACCGGGUCUAAUACUGGAUACGACCUUCCCGCGCAUGCGGUGUUGGUGGAAAGCUUUUGUGGUUUUGGAUGGACUCGCGGCCUAUCAGCUUGUUGGUGGGGUAAUGGCCUACCAAGGCGACGACGGGUAGCCGGCCUGAGAGGGUGACCGGCCACACUGGGACUGAGACACGGCCCAGACUCCUACGGGAGGCAG
This 233-nucleotide ribosomal RNA is filed under the name uncultured bacterium. Its description in RNAcentral is "partial 16S ribosomal RNA". It matches the Rfam family "Bacterial small subunit ribosomal RNA", at positions 118 to 351 of the family's 1533-position model. The record is from RNAcentral.